CUGCUGCCUCCCGUAGGAGUUUGGGCCGUGUCUCAGUCCCAAUGUGGCCGUUCACCCUCUCAGGCCGGCUACUGAUCGUCGCCUUGGUGGGCCUUUACCCCGCCAACCAGCUAAUCAGACGCGGAUCCAUCGUAUACCACCGGAGUUUUUCACACUGCUUCAUGCGAAGCUGUGCGCUUAUGCGGUAUCAGCACCUAUUUCUAAGUGUUAUCCCCCAGUAUACGGCAGGUUCUCCACGCGUUACUCACCCCG
This 252-nucleotide ribosomal RNA is filed under the name uncultured bacterium. RNAcentral's name for it is "partial 16S ribosomal RNA". The record is from RNAcentral.